This 435-nucleotide ribosomal RNA is filed under the name uncultured bacterium. RNAcentral describes it as "partial 16S ribosomal RNA". It matches the Rfam family "Bacterial small subunit ribosomal RNA", at positions 29 to 507 of the family's 1533-position model. The record is from RNAcentral.
AGCGAACGCUGGCGGCAGGCUUAACACAUGCAAGUCGAGCGGGCAUCUUCGGAUGUCAGCGGCAGACGGGUGAGUAACACGUGGGAACGUACCCUUCGGUUCGGAACAACUCUGGGAAACUGGAGCUAAUACCGGAUACGCCCUUAUGGGGAAAGGUUUACUGCCGCAGGAUGGGCCCGCGUCUGAUUAGCUGGUUGGUGGGGUAACGGCCUACCAAGGCGACGAUCAGUAGCUGGUCAGAGAGGAUGGUCAGCCACACUGAGACUGAGACGCGGCCCAGACUCCUACGGGAGGCGGCAGUGGGGAAUAUAGGAAAAUGGGCGCAAGGAUGAUCCACCCAGGCCGCGUGAGUGAUGAAGGCCUUAGGGUUGUAAAGCUCUUUUGUCCGGGACGAUAAUGACGGUACCGGAAGAAUAAGCCCCGGCUAACUUCGUG